Molecule: long non-coding RNA, 78 nt
Organism: Maniola jurtina (meadow brown)
Lineage: Eukaryota; Metazoa; Arthropoda; Insecta; Lepidoptera; Nymphalidae
Exons: 3
Source: RefSeq, a predicted model, not a curated record
AAGUGUUAAUGAGAUAAUCUAUGUCUAAAAUUAAUAAUCGAUCUAUCUUCAAUAUGUCGAUAAGUUACAUAGCAACGU